Molecule: long non-coding RNA, 544 nt
Organism: Talpa occidentalis (Iberian mole)
Lineage: Eukaryota; Metazoa; Chordata; Mammalia; Eulipotyphla; Talpidae
Exons: 5
Source: RefSeq, a predicted model, not a curated record
GUGCCAGGCCAGCUGAGCACACCUGUUCUCCCAGAACUGGACCAUGAUCCACCCACAACAGGGCCAUAUGCUGGCAAUGUUACCAUACUCAUUUGUCCAGUGGCAUCAGACUGACCUACACUAGUCCCUGCCUGAUAGCAGGUCCCAGCUUCAUUUAAAAGGACCAUCAAUUUGGAAGGGGUUUACUCAUGAGGACAGCCAGAGAAGAUCUAUAUAACAGUAAUGUUUUGAUAGGGACUUCAAAAACACUGGGGAAGAAUCCAUGCAGACAUUUGAGGAAAGAGAAGUCCAAGCAGACAAACAGCAACACACCUCACUUCACACCAGGAAUACAGUUAGUAACUAGACAUGGCUGCGUCAACCAUAUUGGACAAUGAAGCUCUGGAAUGAUUUCCCUCCAUGGAAUUCUUCUCAGUGCUGGAGAAACACCUGUGAAGUGACAAGUGACGAGGGCCUUUGUCCUCAGGGAGUUCAUAUGUUAAUAGAGUGAGACUGACAGUUUUCAAACAACAAAUGAAUGAAGGCAACAAACAAGAUAAUGACU